RNAcentral lists this ribosomal RNA (465 nucleotides) under uncultured bacterium. RNAcentral describes it as "partial 16S ribosomal RNA". It matches the Rfam family "Bacterial small subunit ribosomal RNA", at positions 338 to 795 of the family's 1533-position model. The record is from RNAcentral.
CCUACGGGUGGCAGCAGUGGGGAAUAUUGCGCAAUGGGCGAAAGCCUGACGCAGCGACGCCGCGUGAGGGAUGAAGGUCUUCGGAUCGUACACCUCUGUCAGCAGGGAAGAAAGGUCACUGUGCUAAUCCGCUGUGUAUUGACGGUACCUGCAAAGGAAGCACCGGCUAACUCCGUGCCAGCAGCCGCGGUAAUACGGAGGGUGCGAGCGUUAAUCGGAAUUACUGGGCGUAAAGCGCUCGUAGGCGGUAUGGCAAGUCAAGGGUGAAAUCCCCGCGCUCAACGUGGGAACGGCCUUUGAUACUGGCAAACUGGAGUGUGUGAGAGGAGAGUGGAAUUCCAGGUGUAGUAGUGAAAUCCGUAGAUAUCUGGAGGAACAUCAGUGGCGAAGGCGACUAUCUGGCACAUAACUGACGCUGAGGAGCGAAAGCGUGGGUAGCAAACAGGAUUAGAUACCCCUGUAGUC